GAUGAACGCUGGCGGCGUGCCUAAUACAUGCAAGUCGAGCGAACGGACGAGAAGCUUGCUUCUCUGACGUUAGCGGCGGACGGGUGAGUAACACGUGGAUAACCUACCUAUAAGACUGGGAUAACUUCGGGAAACCGGAGCUAAUACCGGAUAAUAUUUUGAACCGCAUGGUUCAAUAGUGAAAGACGGUCUUGCUGUCACUUAUAGAUGGAUCCGCGCUGCAUUAGCUAGUUGGUAAGGUAACGGCUUACCAAGGCAACGAUGCAUAGCCGACCUGAGAGGGUGAUCGGCCACACUGGAACUGAGACACGGUCCAGACUCCUACGGGAGGCAGCAGUAGGGAAUCUUCCGCAAUGGGCGAAAGCCUGACGGAGCAACGCCGCGUGAGUGAUGAAGGUCUUCGGAUCGUAAAACUCUGUUAUUAGGGAAGAACAUAUGCGUAAGUAACUGUGCACGUCUUGACGGUACCUAAUCAGAAAGCCACGGCUAACUACGUG
This 497-nucleotide ribosomal RNA is filed under the name uncultured bacterium. Its description in RNAcentral is "partial 16S ribosomal RNA". It matches the Rfam family "Bacterial small subunit ribosomal RNA", at positions 28 to 507 of the family's 1533-position model. The record is from RNAcentral.